This 253-nucleotide ribosomal RNA is filed under the name uncultured bacterium. RNAcentral describes it as "partial 16S ribosomal RNA". It matches the Rfam family "Bacterial small subunit ribosomal RNA", at positions 524 to 776 of the family's 1533-position model. The record is from RNAcentral.
UACAGGGGGCGCGAGCGUUGCUCGGAAUUACUGGGCGUAAAGCGUACGCAGGCGGACUGCAAAGUCGGAUGUGAAAUCCCGAGGCUCAACCUCGGAACUGCAUUCGAUACUGGCAGUCUUGAGUACGAGAGAGGUGGGUGGAAUUCCUGGUGUAGAGGUGAAAUUCGUAGAUAUCAGGAGGAACAUCGGUGGCGAAAGCGGCCCACUGGCUCGAUACUGACGCUCAUGUACGAAAGCGUGGGGAGCAAACAGG